GUGAACAAUUAAGGGCGCGCGGUGGAUGCCUAGGCUCUCGGAGGCGAUGAAGGACGCGAUAAGCCGCGAUAGGCCACGGCGAGGUGCAAGUAACCCUUGACCCGUGGGUUUCCGAAUGGGGCAACCCGGCCGUCUAGAUGACGGUCAUGCAUUAUCAUGCAGGCGAACGCGGGGAACUGAAACAUCUCAUUACCCGCAGGAGAAGAAAACAAAAUGUGAUUCCCCCAGUAGUGGCGAGCGAACGGGGAAGAGCCCAAACCGCUGCCGUUUCGGCGACAGCGGGGUCAUGGGACCGCGAGAUUCGACGGAAGACGAAGUGCAAUUACCUGGAAAGGUAAGCCGUGGAGGGUGACAGCCCCGUGCACGACACCUCUUUCGAAGAUAGCGGUAUCCCGAGUAGGGCGGGACACGAGAAAUCCUGCCUGAAUUCGCCAGGACCUCCUGGCAAGGCUAAAUACUCCCGAGAGACCGAUAGUGAACCAGUACCGCGAGGGAAAGGUGAAAAGUACCCCGAGCAGGGGGGUGAAAUAGACCCUGAACCCGCGCGCCUACAAGCGGUCGGAGCCGAGUAAUUCGGUGACGGCGUGCCUUUUGCAUAAUGAGCCUACGAGUUAGUCGUCACCAGCGAGGUUAAGGGCUUCAGGCCCGUCAGCCGAAGUGAAAGCGAGCCUUAACAGGGCGUGAAGUUGGUGGCGCUAGACGCGAAACCUUGUGAUCUACCCACGAGCAGGUUGAAGUCGCGGUAACGCGUGAUGGAGGACCGAACCGGUAAACGUUGAAAAGUUUUCGGAUGACUCGCGGGUAGGGGUGAAAGGCCAAUCAAACUGGGAAAUAGCUCGUACUCUCCGAAAUGCAUUUCGGUGCAGCCUGUGAUGUUCUGUUCCAGAGGUAGAGCUACUGGUUGGACGCGAGGGCUUCACCGCCUAUCAAAUCCGGAUAAACUCCGAAUGCUGGAACACGAAAUCAUGGAGUGAGCCCGCGGGUGCUAAGGUCCGCGGACGAGAGGGAAAGAACCCGGACCACCGGCUAAGGUCCCGGAUGGACAGUUAAGUUGAUCAAACGAGGUGGGAUCGCGGAGACAGCUAGGAUGUUGGCUUGGAAGCAGCCAUUCAUUUAAAGAGUGCGUAACAGCUCACUAGUCGAGCGAUCUGGCGUGGAUAAUAAUCGGGCAUAAACGAUCUGCCGAAGCCGUGGAUGUCGCAAGACAUGGUAGGGGAGCAUUCCAUGCGGCGUCGAAGAUGAGGGAUGACCCUUGUUGGAGCGCAUGGAAAAGCAAAUGUAGGUAUGAGUAACGAUAAGGGGGGCGAGAAACCCCCCCGCCGAAAGACCAAGGUUUCCUGAUCAACGCUAAUCGGAUCAGGGUGAGUCGGGACCUAAGGCAAAGCCGAACGGCGCCGCCGAUGGAAGAAUGGGUUAAUAUUCCCAUACUGCCUCAUGGAGUGACGUGGAGACGGAGAAGUGACAGUCCUGCCGGCUGACGGAAUAGCCGGUUGAAGGGUGUAGAUAUUGAUUCCCGUAGGCAAAUCCGCGGGGAGAGUCGAACCUGAGAGUAUACGGAGCGCUUGCGCAACGUAAUAUGGACGUAACCAUGCUCCCGAGAAAAUCCGCUAAACUUAUCCAUGCGGCACCCGUACCGUAAACGGACACACGUGGUCGGGUUGAGAAUACUGAGGCGCUCGAGUGAUUCACGGUUAAGGAACUAGGCAAAUUGACCCUGUAACUUCGGGAUAAAGGGUCCUCGUCGUAAGGCGAGGCGCAGAGAAUAGGUCCAGGCAACUGUUUAACAAAAACACAUGGCUGUGCUAAAUGGAAACAUGACGUAUACAGCCUGACACCUGCCCGGUGCCGGAAGGUUAAGAGGAGAUGUCAUCCGCGAGGAGAAGCGUUGAAUUGAAGCCCCGGUAAACGGCGGCCGUAACUAUAACGGUCCUAAGGUAGCGAAAUUCCUUGUCGGGU
This 1956-nucleotide ribosomal RNA is filed under the name human gut metagenome. Its description in RNAcentral is "bacterial LSU rRNA". It matches the Rfam family "Bacterial large subunit ribosomal RNA", at positions 1 to 1977 of the family's 2925-position model. The record is from RNAcentral.